This 862-nucleotide ribosomal RNA is filed under the name uncultured euryarchaeote VAL1. Its description in RNAcentral is "bacterial SSU rRNA". It matches the Rfam family "Archaeal small subunit ribosomal RNA", at positions 1 to 872 of the family's 1478-position model. Lineage: Archaea; Methanobacteriati; Methanobacteriota. The record is from RNAcentral.
UUCCGGUUGAUCCUGCCGGAGGCCACUGCUAUCGGAGUUCGAUUAAGCCAUGCGAGUCGAGAGGUGCAAGACCUCGGCAUACUGCUCAGUAACACGUGGACAACCUACCCUAUGGAGGGGGAUAACCCCCGGGAAACUGGGGAUAAUACCCCAUAGACUAUGGAUGCUGGAAUGCUCUGUAGCCAAAAGGUCAGCCGCCAUAGGAUGGGUCUGCGGCCGAUUAGGUAGUUGUUGGGGUAACGGCCCAACAAGCCUGUAAUCGGUACGGGUUGUGGGAGCAAGAGCCCGGAGAUGGAUUCUGAGACACGAAUCCAGGCCUACGGGGCGCAGCAGGCGCGAAAACUUUACAAUGCGGGAAACCGUGAUAAGGGAACUCCGAGUGCCCGUUAAAUCGGGCUGUCCAUCUGUGUAAAUAACAGGUGAAGAAAGGGCCGGGCAAGACCGGUGCCAGCCGCCGCGGUAAUACCGGCGGCUCGAGUGGUGGCCACUAUUACUGGGCUUAAAGCGUUCGUAGCUGGUUUGUUAAGUCUCUGGGGAAAUCUUCCGGCUUAACCGGAAGGCGUCUCAGGGAUACUGGCAGACUAGGGACCGGAAGAGGUGAGGGGUACUCCAGGGGUAGGAGUGAAAUCCUGUAAUCCUUGGGGGACCACCUGUGGCGAAGGCGCCUCACCAGAACGGCUCCGACAGUGAGGGACGAAAGCUGGGGGAGCAAACCGGAUUAGAUACCCGGGUAGUCCCAGCCGUAAACGAUGUGCGUUAGGUGUAUCGGUGACCACGAGUCACCGAGGUGCCGAAGAGAAAUCGUGAAACGUACCGCCUGGGAAGUACGGUCGCAAGGCUGAAACUUAAAGGAAUUGGCGGG